UGGGGAAUAUUGGACAAUGGGGGGAACCCUGAUCCAGCCAUGCCGCGUGUGUGAAGAAGGCCUUAUGGUUGUAAAGCACUUUAAGCGAGGAGGAGGGUACUGGUAUUAAUACUACCAGGUACUGGACGUUACUCGCAGAAUAAGCACCGGCUAGCUCUGUGCCAGCAGCCGCGGUAAUACAGAGGGUGCGAGCGUUAAUCGGAUUUACUGGGCGUAAAGCGUGCGUAGGCGGCUAAUUGAGUCGGAUGUGAAAUCCCCGAGCUUAACUUGGGAAUUGCAGUCGAUACUGGUUAGCUAGAGUGUGGGAGAGGAUGGUAGAAUUCCAGGUGUAGCGGUGAAAUGCGUAGAGAUCUGGAGGAAUACCGAUGGCGAAGGCAGCCAUCUGGCCUAACACUGACGCUGAGGUACGAAAGCAUGGGGAGCAAACAGG
RNAcentral lists this ribosomal RNA (430 nucleotides) under Pseudomonadota bacterium. RNAcentral's name for it is "Proteobacteria bacterium partial 16S ribosomal RNA". It matches the Rfam family "Bacterial small subunit ribosomal RNA", at positions 355 to 776 of the family's 1533-position model. Lineage: Bacteria; Pseudomonadati; Pseudomonadota. The record is from RNAcentral.